Molecule: transfer RNA, 73 nt
Filed under: Ixodes scapularis (black-legged tick)
Lineage: Eukaryota; Metazoa; Arthropoda; Arachnida; Ixodida; Ixodidae
Rfam family: tRNA
About the family: Transfer RNA (tRNA) molecules are approximately 80 nucleotides in length.
Source: Rfam by way of RNAcentral
CCCUGGUUAGCUCAGUUAGUAGAGCGCUCCACCUGUAAUGGAGAGGUCGCGGGUUCGAUACCCGGACCAGGCG